This 253-nucleotide ribosomal RNA is filed under the name uncultured bacterium. RNAcentral describes it as "partial 16S ribosomal RNA". It matches the Rfam family "Bacterial small subunit ribosomal RNA", at positions 524 to 776 of the family's 1533-position model. The record is from RNAcentral.
UACGGGGGGAGCAAGCGUUGUUCGGAUUUACUGGGCGUAAAGGGCGCGUAGGCGGCGUGGUAAGUCACUUGUGAAAUCUCCGAGCUUAACUCGGAAAGGUCAACUGAUACUGUGCGGCUAGAGUGCGGAAGGGGCAACUGGAAUUCUUGGUGUAGCGGUGAAAUGCGUAGAUAUCAAGAGGAACACCUGCGGCGAAGGCGGGUUGCUGGGCCGACACUGACGCUGAUGCGCGAAAGCUAGGGGAGCGAACGGG